Molecule: ribosomal RNA, 253 nt
Filed under: uncultured bacterium
Lineage: Bacteria
Description: partial 16S ribosomal RNA
Rfam family: Bacterial small subunit ribosomal RNA
Source: RNAcentral
UACGUAGGGUGCAAGCGUUGUCCGGAAUUAUUGGGCGUAAAGAGCUCGUAGGCGGUCUGUCGCGUCGGCUGUGAAAUCCCGAGGCUCAACCUCGGGUCUGCAGUCGAUACGGGCAGGCUAGAGUGUGGUAGGGGAGAUCGGAAUUCCUGGUGUAGCGGUGAAAUGCGCAGAUAUCAGGAGGAACACCGGUGGCGAAGGCGGAUCUCUGGGCCAUUACUGACGCUGAGGAGCGAAAGCGUGGGGAGCGAACAGG